This 388-nucleotide ribosomal RNA is filed under the name Notarius grandicassis (Thomas sea catfish). RNAcentral describes it as "partial 12S ribosomal RNA". It matches the Rfam family "Bacterial small subunit ribosomal RNA", at positions 791 to 1382 of the family's 1533-position model. Lineage: Eukaryota; Metazoa; Chordata; Actinopteri; Siluriformes; Ariidae. The record is from RNAcentral.
UAUGCUUAGCCUUAAACCCAGAUGCACCCCUACACUUACAUCCGCCAGGGGACUACGAGCGCAGCUUAAAACCCAAAGGACUUGGCGGUGCCUCAAACCCACCUAGAGGAGCCUGUUCUAGAACCGAUAACCCACGUUGAACCUCACCACUUCUUGUUUCCCCCGCCUAUAUACCGCCGUCGUCAGCUUACCCUGUGAAGGUUUAAUAGUAAGCAAAACGGGCUCACCCAAAAACGUCAGGUCGAGGUGUAGCGUAUGAAGUGGAAAGAAAUGGGCUACAUUUUCUAUUAACAGAACAUCACGAACGGCACUUUGAAACCAGUGCCCGAAGGUGGAUUUAGUAGUAAAAAACAAACAGAAAAUCUUUUUGAACCAGGCUCUGAGGCGC